GCCACCAUGGCCGAGUGGUUUAAGGCGGCACAUUUAAGUUCUUCAAAACUGAACUGUGCUAUCGAAAGAUGCGUGCGUUCGAACCGCACUGGUGGCA
Non-coding RNA from Morchella snyderi, 97 nucleotides. The record is from the annotation of a GenBank genome assembly. Lineage: Eukaryota; Fungi; Ascomycota; Pezizomycetes; Pezizales; Morchellaceae.